This 973-nucleotide ribosomal RNA is filed under the name Nanna tibiella. RNAcentral describes it as "eukaryotic LSU rRNA". It matches the Rfam family "Eukaryotic large subunit ribosomal RNA", at positions 122 to 916 of the family's 3401-position model. The record is from RNAcentral. Lineage: Eukaryota; Metazoa; Arthropoda; Insecta; Diptera; Scathophagidae.
UGUCUUUAUGGUAAAUGUGAGAUGCAGUGUAUGGAAUGGCAAAUUUCUAGUAUGAGAAAUUAACGAUUUAAGUCCUUCUUAAAUGAGGCCAUUUACCCAAAGAGGGUGCCAGGCCCGUAUAACGUUAAUGAUUACUAGAUGCCAUUUCCAAAGAGUCGUGUUGCUUGAUAGUGCAGCACUAAGUGGGUGGUAAACUCCAUCUAAAACUAAAUAUAACCAUGAGACCGAUAGUAAACAAGUACCGUGAGGGAAAGUUGAAAAGAACUCUGAAUAGAGAGUUAAAUAGUACGUGAAACUGCUUAGAGGUUAAGCCCGAUGAACCUGAAUAUCCAUUAUGGAAAAUUCAUCAUUAUGAUUUUAAUAUUUAUAAUAUUAUAAUAAUGGUGUGCAUUUUUUCCAUAUAAGGACAUUGUAAUCUAUUAACAAACAGAUUUAUCAUAAGGUCAUUGCGUAAGUUUAUUCAAAUUAUUUUGCUUGCAAUUUAACAUAGAAUAAAUGCUUUUGAUUUGAUAAAGUGUUGAUAGAUUUAUUAUAUAUAGUGCUUGAAUAUAUUUAUAUAUUCUAUAAUAGCGUAAUAAUCAAUGAUUUUUAUGUUCAUUAUAUGCAUUUAUAUGAUUAACAAUGCGAAAGAUUCAGGAUACCUUCGGGACCCGUCUUGAAACACGGACCAAGGAGUCUAACAUAUUUGCAAGUUAUUGGGAAUUAAAAACCUAAUAGCAAAAUUAACAUAACUUAUAUAAUGGGAUUAGUUUUUAGUUCUAUUUACUUAGACUAUUAAUUCAAUCCCGGGGCGUUCUAUACAGUUAUGCAUAAUAAUAUUUAUAUUAUUUAUGCCUCUAACUAGAGCGUACCUUGAGCAUAUAUGCUGUGACCCGAAAGAUGGUGAACUAUACUUGAUCAGGUUGAAGUCAGGGGAAACCCUGAUGGAAGACCGAAACAGUUCUGACGUGCAAAUCGAUUGUCAGAAUUGAGU